AAAUUGAAGAGUUUGAUCAUGGCUCAGAUUGAACGCUGGCGGCAGGCCUAACACAUGCAAGUCGAACGGUAACAGGAAGCAGCUUGCUGCUUUGCUGACGAGUGGCGGACGGGUGAGUAAUGUCUGGGAAACUGCCCGAUGGAGGGGGAUAACUACUGGAAACGGUAGCUAAUACCGCAUAACGUCGCAAGACCAAAGAGGGGGACCUUCGGGCCUCUUGCCAUCGGAUGUGCCCAGAUGGGAUUAGCUAGUAGGUGGGGUAACGGCUCACCUAGGCGACGAUCC
This 285-nucleotide ribosomal RNA is filed under the name Escherichia coli O25b:H4-ST131. RNAcentral's name for it is "partial 16S ribosomal RNA". It matches the Rfam family "Bacterial small subunit ribosomal RNA", at positions 1 to 282 of the family's 1533-position model. The record is from RNAcentral. Lineage: Bacteria; Pseudomonadati; Pseudomonadota; Gammaproteobacteria; Enterobacterales; Enterobacteriaceae.